Molecule: ribosomal RNA, 207 nt
Filed under: uncultured bacterium
Lineage: Bacteria
Description: partial 16S ribosomal RNA
Rfam family: Bacterial small subunit ribosomal RNA
Source: RNAcentral
CGUGUAGGCGGCCAAACAGGUCCGUUGUGAAAACUGGAGGCUCAACCUCCAGACGUCGACGGAAACCGUAUGGCUAGAGUCCGGAAGAGGAGAGUGGAAUUCCUGGUGUAGCGGUGAAAUGCGCAGAUAUCAGGAAGAACACCUAUGGCGAAGGCAGCUCUCUGGGACGGUGCUGACGCUGAGACGCGAAAGCGUGGGGAGCGAACA